RNAcentral lists this transfer RNA (65 nucleotides) under Dipodomys ordii (Ord's kangaroo rat). It matches the Rfam family "tRNA". Rfam says of the family: Transfer RNA (tRNA) molecules are approximately 80 nucleotides in length. Their secondary structure includes four short double-helical elements and three loops (D, anti-codon, and T loops). The record is from Rfam by way of RNAcentral. Lineage: Eukaryota; Metazoa; Chordata; Mammalia; Rodentia; Heteromyidae.
GGUGGCUCAGUGGUAGAGAGCUUGCCUUACAUGCAUGAAGCCCUGGGUUCAAUUCCUCAGCACCA